RNAcentral lists this ribosomal RNA (425 nucleotides) under uncultured bacterium. RNAcentral's name for it is "bacterial SSU rRNA". It matches the Rfam family "Bacterial small subunit ribosomal RNA", at positions 354 to 796 of the family's 1533-position model. The record is from RNAcentral.
GUAAGGAAUAUUGGACAAUGGGGGAAACCCUGAUCCAGCCAUGCCGCGUGAGUGAAGAAGGCCUUCGGGUUGUAAAACUCUUUCAGAUGUGAAGAUGAUGACGGUAACAUCAGAAGAAGCUCCGGCUAACUUCGUGCCAGCAGCCGCGGUAAUACGAAGGGAGCGAGCGUUGUUCGGAAUCACUGGGCGUAAAGAGUGCGUAGGCGGUUAUACAAGUCAGGAGUGAAAUCCCAGAGCUUAACUUUGGAAUUGCUUUUGAAACUGUAUAGCUAGAGUCCCGGAGGGGUUAAUGGAAUUCCGAGUGUAGAGGUGAAAUUCGCAGAUAUUCGGAGGAACACCAGUGGCGAAGGCGAUUAACUGGACGGGCACUGACGCUGAGGCACGAAAGCGUGGGGAUCAAACAGGAUUAGAUACCCUAGUAGUCC